UUAUCAGAGAAUUUGAUUCUGGUUCAGGAUGAACGCUGGCGGUGUGGAUAAGGCAUGCAAGUCGAGCGGUUCGAUUUUAUCGCAAGACUAAAUCGAAUAGCGGCGAACGAGUUAGUAACACGUAGGAACUUUCCUCAAAGACGGGCAUAACUCGCCGAAAGGCGAGCUAAUUCCCGAUAGUAUGGAGGUUUAAAUCUUCAUUAAAGUCGCAAGAUACUUUGAGAGAGACCUGCGGGCUAUCAGCUAGUUGGUAGGGUAAUGGCCUACCAAGGCGAUGACGGCUAGGGGGCGUGAGAGCGCGUUCCCCAACGUAAGGGACUGAGACACGGCCCUAACUCCUACGGGAGGCAGCAGUCGAGAAUAUUUCGCAAUGGG
RNAcentral lists this ribosomal RNA (375 nucleotides) under Patescibacteria group bacterium. RNAcentral describes it as "bacterial SSU rRNA". It matches the Rfam family "Bacterial small subunit ribosomal RNA", at positions 1 to 375 of the family's 1533-position model. The record is from RNAcentral.